Molecule: unclassified non-coding RNA, 304 nt
Filed under: plant metagenome
Description: partial contains 5.8S ribosomal RNA, internal transcribed spacer 2, and large subunit ribosomal RNA
Rfam family: 5.8S ribosomal RNA (bases 1-105)
Source: RNAcentral
GAAAUGCAAUAAGUAAUGUGAAUUGCAGAAUUCAGUGAAUCAUCGAAUCUUUGAACGCACAUUGCGCCCGCCAGUAUUCUGGCGGGCAUGCCUGUUCGAGCGUCAUUUCAACCAUCAAGCCCCCCGGCUUGUGUUGGGGACCUGCGGCUGCCGCAGGCCCUGAAAAGCAGUGGCGGGCUCGCUGUCACACCGAGCGUAGUAGCAUACAUCUCGCUCUGGGCGUGCUGCGGGUUCCGGCCGUUAAACCACCUUCGUAACCCAAGGUUGACCUCGGAUCAGGUAGGAAGACCCGCUGAACUUAAGC